This 482-nucleotide ribosomal RNA is filed under the name uncultured bacterium. Its description in RNAcentral is "partial 16S ribosomal RNA". It matches the Rfam family "Bacterial small subunit ribosomal RNA", at positions 28 to 507 of the family's 1533-position model. The record is from RNAcentral.
GACGAACGCUGGCGGCGUGCUUAACACAUGCGAGUCGAACGCUGAAGCUCAGCUUGCUGGGUGGAUGAGUGGCGAACGGGUGAGUAACACGUGAGUAACCUGCCCUCUUCUUUGGGAUAACGCCCGGAAACGGGUGCUAAUACUGGAUAUUCACUGAUUCUCGCAUGGGGGUUGGUGGAAAGGUUUUUUCUGGUGGGGGAUGGGCUCGCGGCCUAUCAGCUUGUUGGUGGGGUGAUGGCCUACCAAGGCUUUGACGGGUAGCCGGCCUGAGAGGGUGACCGGUCACAUUGGGACUGAGAUACGGCCCAGACUCCUACGGGAGGCAGCAGUGGGGAAUAGUGCACAAUGGGCGAAAGCCUGAUGCAGCGACGCCGCGUGAGGGAUGGAGGCCUUCGGGUUGUAAACCUCUUUCGCUCAUGGUCAAGCCGCAGCUUUGGGUUGUGGUGAGGGUAGUGGGUAAAGAAGCGCCGGCUAACUACGUG